CCUACGGGUGGCAGCAGUGGGGGAUAUUGGACAAUGGGGGAAACUCUGAUCCAGCGACGUCGCGUGCGUGAAGAAGUAUCUCGGUAUGUAAAGCUCUAUCAGCAGGGAAGUAAGCAAUGACGGUACCUGAGUAAGAAGCCUCGGCUAACUACGGGCCAGCAGCCGCGGUAAUACGUAGGGGGCAAGCGUUAUCCGGAAUUACUGGGUGUAAAGGGAGCGUAGACGGUAAUGCAAGUCUGGAGUGAAAGGCGGGGGCCCACCCCCCGGACUGCUCUGGGAACUGUGUAACUGGAGUGCAGGAGAGGCAGGCGGAAUUCCUAGUGUAGCGGUGAAAUGCGUAGAUAUUAGGAGGAACACCAGUUGCGAAGGCGGCCUGCUGGACUGUAACUGACGUUGAGGCUCGAAAGCGUGGGGAGCGAACAGGAUUAGAUACCCCAGUAGUC
RNAcentral lists this ribosomal RNA (443 nucleotides) under uncultured bacterium. Its description in RNAcentral is "partial 16S ribosomal RNA". It matches the Rfam family "Bacterial small subunit ribosomal RNA", at positions 338 to 795 of the family's 1533-position model. The record is from RNAcentral.